Pimephales promelas (fathead minnow) is the source of this 2254-nucleotide non-coding RNA. NCBI's taxonomy places the organism in Eukaryota, Metazoa, Chordata, Actinopteri, Cypriniformes, Leuciscidae. The record is from RefSeq and is a predicted model, not a curated record.
ACUCACUUGAGCCGCUGUUGUCAGUUUCAACAAAAUGGCUGCUGGAGCGCCACAAACGAAAAUCCAGUGAACGCUUCAUGUCAGUGCAGUAUCAUUUUAAAUGGAUGCAUUGGAAUUUCCCUACCUUCUGAACAUCGGGACAUUUACUCGUGUGGACUCGUUUACAUACGCAUUAACGAACUGAAGGCAUGCUAAAAUAUUUCCCUUUACGCACUUUAUACACACCCCCCAAAAUACAAAAGCUCAAACUGCCAGUGUGCGCGCGUCUGUGUGGGUGCGCGCGUGUGUGUAGCUGCUCCUAAAAUCGUCGUAAUGUUAAAGCUGAUCAACCUUAAGCUGUCUUUGCUGACGUGCAAAAUGGUCUUUUCACUGUUUGCACUGGCAUUUUUUUCCGCAUCUGGAUAAUUUCCCCUGCAUUUUUGAGAGGUGAAUUCCUCAACUGGAAAGCCAGGCUCGCCAUUGCAGAUCACUGCAGGAGCGACUGUCCUGACUGCGACUGAAUAAUAUCUGAUCUGUGUCAGUACGGGUAUCGACAACAGCCUCCUUCGCCAUGCUGCUCAUGCAUCACAUCUGAACAGCAGACCGCAGUUGCUCCGUCUGCAAAAUAAAGCCUUGGGACAAAACACGUCACACAAAAGGAGAACCAUUUGAUGGAAGAAAAGAAAAAGAAAAAGCAAGAGGAAAAGAAAAAGAAGGAAGCUGCUCAGAAAAAGGCUGCUGAACAGAAAACCAAAGGUCAGUUAUGAUUCUCUUUGCAGUGCUGCACUAAAGCAUUAAGUUAAAAGUGUUUCCUUUUUAAGGAUCUUCUUCAUUCAGAUAUGUUCAUACCGCAUGCAUCUUGUUGAAAACCUACGUUGCAUGUGCUGCAGAUAUUUUUUGUGCUAUUGUCAGAAUUAACACAAACAUAAUACCAUUCGCUAUAACGGUAGUUUCGUGUGAGACUGCAGUACAUUUGAUCAGAAUCUGCACAGUUAUUUAUGUGGGUGAACUGAAUGACUGGCACAAGACGGCACAGCAGUUGGUAGAGACAAAUCGACUACGACUGGUGACUGCUGAGAGAUUCAGACGUUUGCACUUUAAACAUUUCAAAUUUGAAUGUUAGUAAAUCAGGAUUGUUUUCCUUAUUGUAAUAUCUAAUGAAUUAUUCACUAACACAUAGGCUGAGCAUAAAAUAUUUUACAUAGUGAUGCACCGAUGUGAAAAUUGUAGCCGAUACCGAUAACCGAUAUUAAUAUUGCUGUUAUGGCCGAUACCGAUAUUUACCGAUGUCGAUAUCUCUGCCAGGCCGCACAAUAUUGGUAAAAAUGACAUUUUAUGUUUAUAUUUUAUUUUUCUGCAAUAUAUAUAUAUAUAUUGCGAUAUAAAUACAAUUCCACCCGAUGACUCGAAUAGCUCUAUUUGGAAAGAAUGAAUCAUUGUAGAAUGAAUGGGGUGGUUUUGUCAUGAAGUAAAUCGCAUAGAAACUUAUAUUAAUAGAAUGUCAACUAAUGUCAUUAAAUAGACUUUAAUAAAUGGAACCGUUACCUUAUUGUGAAGUGUUUUCCAAUUUAUGUCUCUUGAGUUCAGUGUUGGACAGAUCAGUUGUUUUAACCGUUUAUUAAAGUGAAUCGGUUCAAAUGAGUCAUAAGUUUGCGAAUCGGACUUGUCAUUAACGGACAACGGCACACGUUGUGCGAUUUAUCCAGGCAGUUUUGGACAUCGCACAAGAUUUGUCUCAAAACAGAAAACAUUUCAUCACUAGAUUGUUUAACUAACUUGUUUAUUGAAACUGUGGUUUAUGUCAUCUGAAUGUGUGGAAAGCUUUUUAAGGCUGUGUUAAUUUAGCACAAUUCACAACCAGUGGUAGUUCAGAAAAAAACAAAAAAAAAACAUUGUGUAUUCUCAAAGAUAUUCAGUCAACUCAAUUCAUUAAUAUGUGCGAGCGAGGGAGAGUAAGCAAAACGGUGAGAGUGUGCGUGCGCGACCGGGGCUUUAACUCUCUCUGCUCCUUCUCUCAGUUAAACAAGCGCAGCAGUCAGUCAUCUACAUCACUCACCGGUCAAAUACGGCUUUGGCGGGUCAAAAAUGCCCCUUAGUAAGGCUGACAGAAAACAGCAUGCAAGUUCCGUGCAAGUUGUUUGAUUGAAUUCUGUGAUGGAAAUGCCAUUUAAGGUUUUUUUAAAUCGUGUGAAAAUCACAAUUUAAAAUGGCUGACUUUAUCUUGCUUAGACUAAUUUCAUAGUUAACAUUAGUUCUAAAUACACAAUUUUUAUAC